GCGGAAAUGGUGAAAUUGGUAAAUGCGCUAAAUUUAGGUUCAGCUAUUCCUCAAGGUCAGCGUAGGUGUGAGCGUUCAAGUCUCUCUUUCCGCACCA
This 97-nucleotide transfer RNA is filed under the name Psychromonas sp. MB-3u-54. Its description in RNAcentral is "tRNA-OTHER". It matches the Rfam family "tRNA". From Rfam's summary of the family: Transfer RNA (tRNA) molecules are approximately 80 nucleotides in length. Their secondary structure includes four short double-helical elements and three loops (D, anti-codon, and T loops). Further hydrogen bonds mediate the characteristic L-shaped molecular structure. tRNAs have two regions of fundamental functional importance: the anti-codon, which is responsible for specific mRNA codon recognition, and the 3' end, to which the tRNAs corresponding amino acid is attached (by aminoacyl-tRNA synthetases). tRNAs cope with the degeneracy of the genetic code in two manners: having more than one tRNA (with a specific anti-codon) for a particular amino acid; and 'wobble' base-pairing, i.e. permitting non-standard base-pairing at the 3rd anti-codon position. Lineage: Bacteria; Pseudomonadati; Pseudomonadota; Gammaproteobacteria; Alteromonadales; Psychromonadaceae. The record is from RNAcentral.